RNAcentral lists this transfer RNA (97 nucleotides) under Gammaproteobacteria bacterium. Its description in RNAcentral is "tRNA-Sec". It matches the Rfam family "Selenocysteine transfer RNA". RNAcentral also lists the same sequence under 1 other name. Lineage: Bacteria; Pseudomonadati; Pseudomonadota; Gammaproteobacteria. The record is from RNAcentral.
GGGGGCGGAUCGGGACUGGUGUUCCGUCUGGUCUUCAAAACCAGUGCGCCCGGCUGGAACCCGGGUGGGUGGGUUCGAUUCCCACACGCCCCCGCCA